CUCUCACUAAAAUCAAAACCUCUCUCUUCUCUCAUACCCACCCAAAUCAAGAACAAGGAAGACGACCCCCCCCCCCGGCGACCCCCUGGUUUCUCCGGCUGUAGCGCCACCGCUCAUAGCGGCGGUGAACACAAGCAACAACGGUCAAUCAGGCGAUACAAGCAACAUCUCCGGCCACGUCUUCCGAUCUCCGACGCCGCCACCGCCACCGCCACCCCCACCGCCUCCGACGUGUUCUCUGUCCGACGAUGAUGUUAAUGAAGAUGGCAGCCGGCGCCGGAGUUACCAGCGACGGCGGUCACUGUGGUGGUGCGUGGUUUGAGUUUGAGCAGUGACAGCCGUGGUGGUUGUCUUUGUUCACGGCGGCGGUGUGAACGGGCUUGGCGAUGAACGAUUGUGAGGGGGUGGGUUUCUUUUGAUUUUGGGUAUGCUGGGUUUCUUUUGAUUUUGGGUAUGCUGGGUUUCUUGAAUGUUUGAAUAUGUGGGUUUCUUUUGAUUCAUCUGCACACUGAUAUGGAACAUUGUGGGUAUGAUGGGUUUCUUUUGAUUUUGGGUAUGCUGGGUUUCUUGAAUGUUUGAAUAUGUGGGUUUUUUUGAA
Helianthus annuus (common sunflower) is the source of this 598-nucleotide long non-coding RNA. RefSeq lists it as uncharacterized. NCBI's taxonomy places the organism in Eukaryota, Viridiplantae, Streptophyta, Magnoliopsida, Asterales, Asteraceae. The transcript has 2 exons. The record is from RefSeq and is a predicted model, not a curated record.